This 497-nucleotide ribosomal RNA is filed under the name uncultured bacterium. Its description in RNAcentral is "partial 16S ribosomal RNA". It matches the Rfam family "Bacterial small subunit ribosomal RNA", at positions 28 to 507 of the family's 1533-position model. The record is from RNAcentral.
GAUGAACGCUGGCGGCGUGCCUAAUACAUGCAAGUCGAGCGAACAGAUGAGGAGCUUGCUCCUCUGACGUUAGCGGCGGACGGGUGAGUAACACGUGGAUAACCUACCUAUAAGACUGGGAUAACUUCGGGAAACCGGAGCUAAUACCGGAUAAUAUAUUGAACCGCAUGGUUCAAUAGUGAAAGACGGUUUUGCUGUCACUUAUAGAUGGAUCCGCGCCGCAUUAGCUAGUUGGUAAGGUAACGGCUUACCAAGGCAACGAUGCGUAGCCGACCUGAGAGGGUGAUCGGCCACACUGGAACUGAGACACGGUUCAGACUCCUACGGGAGGCAGCAGUAGGGAAUCUUCCGCAAUGGGCGAAAGCCUGACGGAGCAACGCCGCGUGAGUGAUGAAGGUCUUCGGAUCGUAAAACUCUGUUAUUAGGGAAGAACAAAUGUGUAAGUAACUAUGCACGUCUUGACGGCACCUAAUCAGAAAGCCACGGCUAACUACGUG